RNAcentral lists this ribosomal RNA (687 nucleotides) under uncultured bacterium. RNAcentral describes it as "bacterial SSU rRNA". It matches the Rfam family "Bacterial small subunit ribosomal RNA", at positions 139 to 813 of the family's 1533-position model. The record is from RNAcentral.
GGGGAUAACACUUGGAAACAGGUGCUAAUACCGCAUAACCAUAGUUACCGCAUGGUAACUAUGUAAAAGGUGGCUAUGCUACCGCUUUUGGAUGGGCCCGCGACGCAUUAGCUAGUUGGUGGGGUAAAGGCUUACCAAGGCAAUGAUGCGUAGCCGAACUGAGAGGUUGAUCGGCCACAUUGGGACUGAGACACGGCCCAAACUCCUACGGGAGGCAGCAGUAGGGAAUCUUCCACAAUGGGCGAAAGCCUGAUGGAGCAACGCCGCGUGGGUGAAGAAGGUCUUCGGAUCGUAAAACCCUGUUGUUAGAGAAGAAAGUGCGUGAGAGUAACUGUUCACGUUUCGACGGUAUCUAACCAGAAAGCCACGGCUAACUACGUGCCAGCAGCCGCGGUAAUACGUAGGUGGCAAGCGUUAUCCGGAUUUAUUGGGCGUAAAGAGAACGCAGGCGGUCUUUUAAGUCUGAUGUGAAAGCCUUCGGCUUAACCGGAGUAGUGCAUUGGAAACUAGGAGACUUGAGUGCAGAAGAGGAGAGUGGAACUCCAUGUGUAGCGGUGAAAUGCGUAGAUAUAUGGAAGAACACCAGUGGCGAAAGCGGCUCUCUGGUCUGUAACUGACGCUGAGGUUCGAAAGCGUGGGUAGCAAACAGGAUUAGAUACCCUGGUAGUCCACGCCGUAAACGAUGAA